UGAAUACGAGACGCUAAGGCGUCGAAGUAGUGUAUGUCAUGCUUCCAAGAAAAGCUUGCACUGUCAUAGAUAAAAAACGCCUGUACCAUAACCGACACAGGUGGGUAGGUAGAGUAUACUAAGGGGCGCGAGAUAACUCUCUCUAAGGAACUCGGCAAAAUAACUCCGUAACUUCGGGAGAAGGAGUGCCUUAUUCUUAAGGUUGCAAUAACAAGAUCCAAGCAACUGUUUAUCAAAAACACAGGUCUCCGCUAAGUCGUAAGACGAUGUAUGGGGGCUGACGCCUGCCCAGUGCCAGAAGGUUAAAGAAGUUGGUUAGCAUUUGCGAAGCUGAUAACUGAAGCCCUGGUGAACGGCGGCCGUAACAAUAACGGUCCUAAGGUAGCGAAAUUCCUUGUCGGGUAAGUUCCGACCCGCACGAAAGGCGUAAUGAUUUGGAUACUGUCUCGGAGAGGGGCUCGGUGAAAUAGACUUGUCUGUGAAGAUGCGGACUACCUGCACCAGGACAGAAAGACCCUAUGAAGCUUUACUGUAACUUGAAAUUGAAAUUGGACUUUAUUCGCGCAGCAUAGGUGGGAGGCGUAUUAUAAUCUCGUGGGAUUAUUGGAGCCAUCAGUGAGAUACCACUCUUGUAAUGUUAGAUUUCUAACUUUGAAUCAUUAUCUGGUCAAAGAACAGUUUCAGGCGGGCAGUUUGACUGGGGCGGUCGCCUCCUAAACGGUAACGGAGGCGUACAAAGGUUUCCUCUGAACGGUUAGAAAUCGUAUCUAGAGUGUAAAGGCAUAAGGAAGCUUGACUGUGAGACCUACAAGUCGAGCAGGGACGAAAGUCGGUCUUAGUGAUCUGACGGUACUGAGUGGAAAGGCCGUCACUCAACGGAUAAAGGUUACUCUAGGAUAACAGGCUGAUCUCCCCCAAGAGUUCACAUCGACGGGGAGGUUUGGCACCUUGAUGUCGGCUCAUCGCAUCCUGGGGCGGUAGUACGUCCCAAGGGUUGGGCUGUUCGCCCAUGAAAGCGGUACGCGAGCUGGGUUCAGAACGUCGUGAGACAGUUCGGUCCAUAUCCGGUGUAGGCGUUAGAAUAUUGAGAGGGGCCUUCUUUAGUACGAGAGGACCGAGAAGGACAUACCUCUGGUGUACCAGUUAUCGUGCCAACGGUAAACGCUGGGUAGCUAUGUAUGGAGUGGAUAACCGCUGAAAGCAUCUAAGUGGGAAGCCCACCUCAAGAUAAGUAUUCUCAUC
RNAcentral lists this ribosomal RNA (1242 nucleotides) under metagenome. RNAcentral describes it as "bacterial LSU rRNA". It matches the Rfam family "Bacterial large subunit ribosomal RNA", at positions 1564 to 2818 of the family's 2925-position model. The record is from RNAcentral.